Molecule: long non-coding RNA, 732 nt
Organism: Diospyros lotus (date-plum)
Lineage: Eukaryota; Viridiplantae; Streptophyta; Magnoliopsida; Ericales; Ebenaceae
Exons: 4
Source: RefSeq, a predicted model, not a curated record
CGCCGUAUCCCUCUCUCUCCCUCUCCCUCUCCCUCUCCCCUCCUCCUUCCCCAAAUUGCCAAAUCCCUAAAUCUAACCCUAACUCACCCCCUAUCUCUCUCUCUCUCUCUCUAUCUGUGAAGUACUCCCGCAAUCGACCUAUUCGCCGUUGCCUCUGCCUUUGGUUGCUGCCGCUGCCUCCGCCUCCGGUUGCCGCCGCCUCCAGCUCGAUCGGGCUUCGCCUCCGCGUCCACUGCUGCUAGAUCCACCUCAAAGAAGUACGAUGGAUAAGAAUUGGAUGCAAUUGGAUGAUAGACUUUCUGACCAAUAUGUUAAUGGAGUUGAUAAUUAUUUGUGAUACCAACAUUGUUCGAGAUGCCAAAAGUAAGUUAUGGGUGAAUAAAAGGUUAAAUGGCGCAAAAUACUACGACGUGUACACCAUUGAUGAGAAGAGAAAUCAAGUGGGUCCAGUAGACAUUGAGAGAGAGCAAUGGAGAGAUUUCAUGCAUUGGUUGAGCUCACCUGAGUUUCAGGUCAAUGAGAUAACAAGACUUUAAAGGAAGCAACUGUUGUCUUGCAGUACAUGAAUAGUUUUAUGACUAUAUAUAGUGUUUUGUUGUACAUUAGUUUUGAAUAGUAUAUAUGAUUGUUAAAGUGUUAUUUUUAGUUAAAUAUCUUUUUUGGUGUACAUCUUUGAAUAGUAUAUACAAUUGUCAAAGUGUUAUUUUUAGUUGAACAUAUUUUUUGGUGUAA